RNAcentral lists this ribosomal RNA (253 nucleotides) under uncultured bacterium. Its description in RNAcentral is "partial 16S ribosomal RNA". It matches the Rfam family "Bacterial small subunit ribosomal RNA", at positions 524 to 776 of the family's 1533-position model. The record is from RNAcentral.
UACGUAGGGUGCAAGCGUUAAUCGGAAUUACUGGGCGUAAAGCGUGCGCAGGCGGUUAUGUAAGACAGUUGUGAAAUCCCCGGGCUCAACCUGGGAACUGCAUCUGUGACUGCAUAGCUAGAGUCCGGAAGAGGAGAGUGGAAUUCCCGGUGUAGCGGUGAAAUUCGUAGAUAUCGAGAGGAACACCGGUGGCGAAGGCGGCGAUCUGGACGAUGACUGACGCUGAGACGCGAAAGCGUGGGGAGCAAACAGG